RNAcentral lists this ribosomal RNA (749 nucleotides) under uncultured archaeon. Its description in RNAcentral is "bacterial SSU rRNA". It matches the Rfam family "Archaeal small subunit ribosomal RNA", at positions 102 to 856 of the family's 1478-position model. The record is from RNAcentral.
GGACAACCUACCCUAUGGAGGGGGAUAACCCCGGGAAACUGGGGAUAAUACCCCAUAGGCUAUGGAUGCUGGAAUGCUCUGUAGUCGAAAGGUCCGCCGCCAUAGGAUGGGUCUGCGGCCGAUUAGGUUGUUGUUGGGGUAACGGCCCAACAAGCCUGUAAUCGGUACGGGUUGUGGGAGCAAGAGCCCGGAGAUGGAUUCUGAGACACGAAUCCAGGCCCUACGGGGCGCAGCAGGCGCGAAAACUUUACAAUGCGGGAAACCGUGAUAGGGGAACUCUGAGUGCCCGUAAAAUCGGGCUGUCCAUCUGUUUAAAUAACAGGUGAAGAAAGGGCCGGGCAAGACCGGUGCCAGCCGCCGCGGUAAUACCGGCGGCUCGAGUGGUGGCCACUAUUACUGGGCUUAAAGCGUUCGUAGCUGGUUUGUUAAGUCUCUGGGGAAAUCCUCCGGCUCAACCGGAAGGCGUCUCAGGGAUACUGGCAGACUAGGGACCGGGGGAGGUGAGAGGUACUCCAGGGGUAGGAGUGAAAUCCUGUAAUCCUUGGGGGACCACCUGUGGCGAAGGCGUCUCACCAGAACGGCUCCGACAGUGAGGGACGAAAGCUGGGGGAGCAAACCGGAUUAGAUACCCGGGUAGUCCCAGCUGUAAACGAUGCACGUUAGGUGUAUCGGUGACCACGAGUCACCGAGGUGCCGAAGAGAAAUCGUGAAACGUGCCGCCUGGGAAGUACGGUCGCAAGGCUGAAACU